This 112-nucleotide ribosomal RNA is filed under the name uncultured bacterium. RNAcentral describes it as "partial 16S ribosomal RNA". It matches the Rfam family "Bacterial small subunit ribosomal RNA", at positions 1424 to 1533 of the family's 1533-position model. The record is from RNAcentral.
GAGUAGAUAGUCUAACCUUAGGGAAGGCGUUUACCACGGUGUGCUUCAUGACUGGGGUGAAGUCCGUAACAAGGUAGCCGUAGGGGAACCUGUGGCUNGGAUCACCUUCCUU